RNAcentral lists this ribosomal RNA (866 nucleotides) under Pyrenochaeta sp. AP1s5-JAC1a. RNAcentral describes it as "SSU rRNA". It matches the Rfam family "Eukaryotic small subunit ribosomal RNA", at positions 72 to 949 of the family's 1831-position model. Lineage: Eukaryota; Fungi; Ascomycota; Dothideomycetes; Pleosporales; Cucurbitariaceae. The record is from RNAcentral.
CAUUAUACCGUGAAACUGCGAAUGGCUCAUUAAAUCAGUUAUCGUUUAUUUGAUAGUACCUUACUACUUGGAUAACCGUGGUAAUUCUAGAGCUAAUACAUGCUGAAAACCCCAACUUCGGGAGGGGUGUAUUUAUUAGAUAAAAAACCAACGCCCUUCGGGGCUUCUUGGUGAUUCAUGAUAACUUUACGGAUCGCAUGGCCUUGCGCCGGCGACGGUUCAUUCAAAUUUCUGCCCUAUCAACUUUCGAUGGUAAGGUAUUGGCUUACCAUGGUUUCAACGGGUAACGGGGAAUUAGGGUUCGAUUCCGGAGAGGGAGCCUGAGAAACGGCUACCACAUCCAAGGAAGGCAGCAGGCGCGCAAAUUACCCAAUCCCGACACGGGGAGGUAGUGACAAUAAAUACUGAUACAGGGCUCUUUUGGGUCUUGUAAUUGGAAUGAGUACAAUUUAAACCUCUUAACGAGGAACAAUUGGAGGGCAAGUCUGGUGCCAGCAGCCGCGGUAAUUCCAGCUCCAAUAGCGUAUAUUAAAGUUGUUGCAGUUAAAAAGCUCGUAGUUGAAACUUGGGCCUGGCUGGCAGGUCCGCCUCACCGCGUGUACUUGUCCGGCCGGGCCUUCCUUCUGGAGAACCUCAUGCCCUUCACUGGGCGUGUUGGGGACCAGGACUUUUACUUUGAAAAAAUUAGAGUGUUCAAAGCAGGCCUUUGCUCGAAUACGUUAGCAUGGAAUAAUAGAAUAGGACGUGCGGUUCUAUUUUGUUGGUUUCUAGGACCGCCGUAAUGAUUAAUAGGGACAGUCGGGGGCAUCAGUAUUCAAUUGUCAGAGGUGAAAUUCUUGGAUUUAUUGAAGACUAACUACUGCGAA